RNAcentral lists this long non-coding RNA (798 nucleotides) under Homo sapiens (human). RNAcentral's name for it is "HSALNT0119613". The record is from RNAcentral. Lineage: Eukaryota; Metazoa; Chordata; Mammalia; Primates; Hominidae.
GUUAAGAUUAGGAUUUAUUGUCCAGGAAUCCUUGAACAAUUUUAUCAAAUGCCCAUUUCUAAGUGGUGUUUUUCUGCAAUAAAUCAUACAGCAAGAAUCUAUCAGUGGACACUAGGAAGAGAUAAAUGAGUGUAGAGGAAAGAGGGUCAUCACAGAUUUUUUUCUGUAUCAUGACCUGUCAUUGGCAGAAAUCCAUUUAUUAUGGUUCACAGAUGAUUUUUUUACUUACUCACUGUGUUUUCUGUUUGGGGUGUUAGCUAAGAUAAAAUGAAAACUGGGCCAAAUGUAAGCUAUCAAAAUCCAUGAAGGCAGACAUAACUUAAAGAUCAUGAGAUACCAAAAGUAUCCAUUUUUUUCUCCUUUCAUGUAGCUGUAAAUUUUUUUGAAAUAUCUUUUUAAAAUGUAAAUAUUUUAAUUUUUAAAGUAACCGUUUCACUCAAGUAGGUUAGAAUACAAGUAAUAGAAAAUUCUGUUGCAGACUAGAACUUUGCCCCAGAAUGUUGUUUUAGCAGAAAAGCAGAAACGGUAUCUAAUAGCUGUCAAGUAGUUGUCAAGCACCCCCUUAGUGAGUUUUCUGUUCUUCUCUUACAUCCUUUCUCAUUUAAUCUGUAAUCAGGACCCUAUAAUUUGGAACAAGACCAGGUACAUGAAGAAAUGAAUGCUAAAUGCCAGGCUAAAUGCAAGAAUAAUUUUUAGGAAGUUGUUACUACUAUUAUAAUUGAAUUUACAAUUUACAUUUGAUUGAAAGAAUUCAUUAAAAUGUAGCAUUUCAAGUUUCUUCUUUAUUAUAUUUAUUUU